This 343-nucleotide unclassified non-coding RNA is filed under the name soil metagenome. RNAcentral's name for it is "partial contains 5.8S ribosomal RNA, internal transcribed spacer 2, and large subunit ribosomal RNA". The stretch from base 1 to 120 matches the Rfam family "5.8S ribosomal RNA", at positions 35 to 154 of the family's 154-position model. The record is from RNAcentral.
GAUGAAGAACGUAGCGAAAUGCGAUAAGUAAUGUGAAUUGCAGAAUCCAGUGAAUCAUCGAAUCUUUGAACGCACAUUGCGCCCGCCAGCAUUCUGGCGGGCAUGCCUGUUCGAGCGUCAUUUCAACCCUCGACCUCCCCUUGGGGAGGUCGGCGUUGGGGACCGGCAGCACACCGCCGGCCCUGAAAUGGAGUGGCGGCCCGUCUGCGGCGACCUCUGCGUAGUAAUACAGCUCGCACCGGAACCCCGACGCGGCCACGCCGUAAAACACCCAACUUCUGAACGUUGACCUCGUAUCAGGUAGGACUACCCGCUGAACUUAAGCAUAUCAAUAAGCGGAGGA